UAAGUCCUGAAAUGCGCGGAUAAACCUAUAAUUUUGAACCUACAGAAAAAAAGCGGGAGCUCGGGUUUAUAGGCGGAUGCCAGGCCUCAACAUAAUACCGACACACGGGUUAACCCGAGUGCAACGGCGGGGGAAGGUUGAAGCCUGUAAUAGGGCACCCACCUAGCAUAGGCUAGGUGUCAAAAUAUAGGGGAACGCCAUUUCGGGGUUUAG
This 213-nucleotide non-coding RNA is filed under the name Clostridiaceae bacterium. RNAcentral describes it as "6S RNA". It matches the Rfam family "6S / SsrS RNA". Rfam says of the family: E. coli 6S RNA was the first non coding RNA to be sequenced, but its function was unknown until recently. It consists of 184 nucleotides that fold into an extended hairpin structure with a large single-stranded internal bulge. The record is from RNAcentral. Lineage: Bacteria; Bacillati; Bacillota; Clostridia; Eubacteriales; Clostridiaceae.